UUGGUCCAUCGAACCAACUGAGGUGAAAUCCUAUCUACGGCCGGGUCCUCAACUUCUACCAGGACAAUAUCCUAGUUAUAGCCAGGCUCGGAGUGUAAGUGGUACUGUUCGGAUAAGUUCUGACAAAAAAACUAGCCGAGUAGGAGGAAAACCUAGCCAUGCCUAAGUCCUUCAGAUCCCAAGUAGCAUGUUAAUACUCUUUUAGAUGAAACUUUGAGCGCUGC
RNAcentral lists this long non-coding RNA (224 nucleotides) under Elaeis guineensis (African oil palm). Its description in RNAcentral is "long non-coding RNA (EGUI_LNC033801)". The record is from RNAcentral. Lineage: Eukaryota; Viridiplantae; Streptophyta; Magnoliopsida; Arecales; Arecaceae.